Molecule: transfer RNA, 69 nt
Filed under: human gut metagenome
Also listed under: 1 other name
Rfam family: tRNA
About the family: Transfer RNA (tRNA) molecules are approximately 80 nucleotides in length. Their secondary structure includes four short double-helical elements and three loops (D, anti-codon, and T loops).
Source: RNAcentral
CGGUGUAGCUCAGUUGGCCAGAGCACGUGAUUUGUAAUCUCGGGGUCGGGGGUUCGAAUCCCUCCACCG